GUCGAGCGAGUGGAGUUCUUCGGAACAAAGCUAGCGGCGGACGGGUGAGUAACACGUGGGCAACCUGCCUCAUAGAGGGGAAUAGCCUUCCGAAAGGGAGAUUAAUACCGCAUAAGAUUGUAGCUUCGCAUGAAGUAGCAAUUAAAGGAGCAAUCCGCUAUGAGAUGGGCCCGCGGCGCAUUAGCUAGUUGGUGAGGUAACGGCUCACCAAGGCGACGAUGCGUAGCCGACCUGAGAGGGUGAUCGGCCACAUUGGGACUGAGACACGGCCCAGACUCCUACGGGAGGCAGCAGUGGGGAAUAUUGCACAAUGGGGGAAACCCUGAUGCAGCAACGCCGCGUGAGUGAUGACGGCCUUCGGGUUGUAAAGCUCUGUCUUCAGGGACGAUAAUGACGGUACCUGAGGAGGAAGCCACGGCUAACUACGUGCCAGCAGCCGCGGUAAUACGUAGGUGGCGAGCGUUGUCCGGAUUUACUGGGCGUAAAGGGAG
RNAcentral lists this ribosomal RNA (491 nucleotides) under uncultured bacterium. RNAcentral's name for it is "bacterial SSU rRNA". It matches the Rfam family "Bacterial small subunit ribosomal RNA", at positions 61 to 569 of the family's 1533-position model. The record is from RNAcentral.